Molecule: non-coding RNA, 66 nt
Organism: Podarcis lilfordi (Lilford's wall lizard)
Lineage: Eukaryota; Metazoa; Chordata; Lepidosauria; Squamata; Lacertidae
Source: the annotation of a GenBank genome assembly
CCAAAGCGCAGUCGGUAGAGCAGGAGGCUUUUAAUCUCGGGGCUGUGGGUUCGAGCCCCACAUGGG